UGGGGAAUUUUGGACAAUGGGCGCAAGCCUGAUCCAGCCAUACCGCGUGAGUGACGAAGGUCUUCGGAUUGUAAAGCUCUUUUAGCAGGGAAGAUAAUGACGGUACCUGCAGAAUAAGCCCCGGCUAACUUCGUGCCAGCAGCCGCGGUAAUACGAAGGGGGCUAGCGUUGUUCGGAAUUACUGGGCGUAAAGCGCACGUAGGCGGAUUGAUAAGUUAGAGGUGAAAUCCCGGGGCUCAACCUCGGAACUGCCUUUGAUACUGUUAGUCUCGAGUCCGAUAGAGGUGAGUGGAAUUCCUAGUGUAGAGGUGAAAUUCGUAGAUAUUAGGAAGAACACCAGUGGCGAAGGCGGCUCACUGGAUCGGUACUGACGCUGAGGUGCGAAAGCGUGGGGAGCAAACAGGAUUAGAUACCCCCGUAGUCCCUGAGCGGGCUGGCAAGGCGCAU
Molecule: ribosomal RNA, 447 nt
Filed under: uncultured bacterium
Lineage: Bacteria
Description: bacterial SSU rRNA
Rfam family: Bacterial small subunit ribosomal RNA
Source: RNAcentral